This 78-nucleotide non-coding RNA is filed under the name uncultured Escherichia sp. RNAcentral describes it as "Nucleoid-associated noncoding RNA 4 (CssrE)". It matches the Rfam family "Nucleoid-associated noncoding RNA 4 (CssrE)". Rfam says of the family: In E. coli small RNA transcribed from repeated extragenic palindromic element (REP325) called nucleoid-associated ncRNA 4 (nRNA4) collaborates HU protein in condensing the DNA. The secondary structure but not the sequence of the RNA is important in nucleoid condensation. Lineage: Bacteria; Pseudomonadati; Pseudomonadota; Gammaproteobacteria; Enterobacterales; Enterobacteriaceae. The record is from RNAcentral.
GCCGGAUAAGGCGUUUACGCCCCAUCAGGCAAUUGUGCACCAAUUGCCUGAUGCGACGCAGGCGCGUCUUAUCAGGCC